GGCGGCGUAGCCAAGUGGUAAGGCAGAGGUCUGCAAAACCUCCACCCACCGGUUCAAAUCCGGUCGCCGCCUCCA
This 75-nucleotide transfer RNA is filed under the name Myxococcales bacterium. Its description in RNAcentral is "tRNA-Cys". It matches the Rfam family "tRNA". From Rfam's summary of the family: Transfer RNA (tRNA) molecules are approximately 80 nucleotides in length. Lineage: Bacteria; Pseudomonadati; Myxococcota; Myxococcia; Myxococcales. The record is from RNAcentral.